RNAcentral lists this ribosomal RNA (497 nucleotides) under uncultured bacterium. RNAcentral's name for it is "partial 16S ribosomal RNA". It matches the Rfam family "Bacterial small subunit ribosomal RNA", at positions 28 to 507 of the family's 1533-position model. The record is from RNAcentral.
GACGAACGCUGGCGGCGUGCCUAAUACAUGCAAGUCGAGCGAACAGACGAGGAGCUUGCGGCUCUCACGUUAGCGGCGGACGGGUGAGAAACACGUGGAUCACCUACCUAUAAGUCUGGGAUAUUUUCGGGACACCGGCGCAUAUACCGGAUGAGAUCUUGCACCACGUGGUUCAUUAGUGAAAUACGGUUUUGGUGUAACUACUAGCGGGAUCCGCGCCGCAUUGGGUAGUUGGUCAGGUAAAGGGUUACCACGGGAACGAUGCGUAGGCGAGGUGAGAGAGUGAUCGGCCACAUUGGAACUUAGACACGGUCCAGACUCCUACGGGAGGCAGCAGUAGCGAAUGUUCCGCAAUGGGCGAAAGCCUGACACAGCAACGCCGCGUGAGUUAUGAUGGUCUUCGGAUCGUGAAACUCUGUUACGAGGGAAAAACAAAUGUGUAAGGAGCUAUACACGUCUUGACGGUACCUAAUCAAAAAGCCCCGGCUAACUACGUG